This 331-nucleotide long non-coding RNA is filed under the name Sorghum bicolor (sorghum). RNAcentral describes it as "long non-coding RNA (SBIC_LNC003585)". The record is from RNAcentral. Lineage: Eukaryota; Viridiplantae; Streptophyta; Magnoliopsida; Poales; Poaceae.
GGCCACAUUAUUGUCGUAGACUAUACUGAUUUCGUGUCAUGAGAACUUUACCACAUUGUAAAACACUCUCUCACACACACACAUUAUAUAACAAUUGCCUCUCUCCUCCACAUUAUAAAACUCCAUGUGGCUUUGCACAAGAGGUGAAGAGAAUCUAAAAAACCGCUAGCGUGUGCUACUUAGCGUGUAUAAUAAUAAUUAGCGAUAUGUAAUCUCAUUUUUGUCUCAAAUCAAGUGCUUCUCAUGUAAUCAAUCUAAUCCGUCAACACUCGAUCCGACAUCUCCUUUCUUAGUGUUGUGUGCUUCUUUUUAUCGUUGUGUUCCACUAACU